This 253-nucleotide ribosomal RNA is filed under the name uncultured bacterium. RNAcentral describes it as "partial 16S ribosomal RNA". It matches the Rfam family "Bacterial small subunit ribosomal RNA", at positions 524 to 776 of the family's 1533-position model. The record is from RNAcentral.
UACAGAGGGUGCGAGCGUUGUCCGGAAUCACUGGGCGUAAAGGGCGCGUAGGCGGCUUGAUAAGCGUGCGGUGAAAGCCCGGGGCUCAACUCCGGGUCGGCCGUGCGAACUGGGGGACUGGAGCUUGUCAGAGGCAGGCGGAAUUCCGGGUGUAGCGGUGGAAUGCGUAGAGAUCCGGAAGAACACCGGUGGCGAAGGCGGCCUGCUGGGACAGUGCUGACGCUGAGGCGCGACAGCGUGGGGAGCAAACAGG